UCUACGGGAGGCAGCAGUGGGGAAUCUUGCACAAUGGGGGAAACCCUGAUGCAGCGACGCCGCGUGAGCGAUGAAGCCCUUCGGGGUGUAAAGCUCUUUCGGCAGGGAAGAUUAUGACGGUACCUGCAGAAGCAGCUGCGGCUAACUACGUGCCAGCAGCCGCGGUAAUACGUAGGCAGCAAGCGUUGUUCGGAGUUACUGGGCGUAAAGGGUGUGUAGGCGGUUGCUUAAGUUUGGUGUGAAAUCUCCCGGCUUAACUGGGAGGGUGCGCCGAAUACUGAGUGACUCGAGUGCGGGAGAGGGAAGUGGAAUUCCUGGUGUAGCGGUGAAAUGCGUAGAUAUCAGGAGGAACACCGGUGGUGUAGACGGCUUUCUGGACCGUAACUGACGCUGAAACACGAAAGCGUGGGUAGCAAACAGGAUUAGAUACCCUGGUAGUCCACGCCCUAAACGAUGCAUAUUUGGUGUGGGCAGUUCAUUCUGUCCGUGCCGGAGCUAACGCGUUAAAUAUGCCGCCUGGGGAGUACAGUCGCAAGGCUGAAACUCAAAUGAAUUGACGGA
This 561-nucleotide ribosomal RNA is filed under the name uncultured bacterium. Its description in RNAcentral is "bacterial SSU rRNA". It matches the Rfam family "Bacterial small subunit ribosomal RNA", at positions 338 to 917 of the family's 1533-position model. The record is from RNAcentral.